CUGGAUGUGGACGCAGGGAGAGGCGUGAGAGUUGACAGCCUUUGAGGUGAGAGCGAGAGUUUGAUUGGGCUGCCGUAGGAAAGUGGGUCCGUGCGUGUCCUGCGUGUGCCCCGACACCCAAAGACAGACGCACACCCCGGAAAUAACAGAGUGAUCAAUAAAAGACUUUCAAGAUAAAGGAUAAAAUUCUUUGGGAUAUAAAAACAUAUGUUUAAAAGGGAAAGCAUUCACAAUAGCCAAGAUAUGGAAGCAAGCCAAGUGUCCAUCGAUAAGAUGAAUGGAUAAAGAAGAUGUGGUAUAUAUACACCAUGGAAUAUUACUCAGCCAUAAAAAAGAAUGAAAUCUUGCCAUUUGUAACAACAUGGAUGGGCCCAGGUGGUAUUAUGCUAAGUGAAAUAAGUCAAAGAAAGACCAAUGUCAUAUGAUUUCACUUAUACGUGGAAUCUAAAAAACAAAACGAACAAACAAAACAGAUGCUUAAAAGAGAGAACUGGUGGUUACCAGAGG
Long non-coding RNA from Mirounga angustirostris (Northern elephant seal), 507 nucleotides. RefSeq lists it as uncharacterized. The record is from RefSeq and is a predicted model, not a curated record. The transcript is spliced from 3 exons. NCBI's taxonomy places the organism in Eukaryota, Metazoa, Chordata, Mammalia, Carnivora, Phocidae.